This 331-nucleotide ribosomal RNA is filed under the name uncultured Bacteroidota bacterium. RNAcentral describes it as "bacterial SSU rRNA". It matches the Rfam family "Bacterial small subunit ribosomal RNA", at positions 114 to 447 of the family's 1533-position model. Lineage: Bacteria; Pseudomonadati; Bacteroidota. The record is from RNAcentral.
CGCGUAUACAAUCUACCUUAUACUGGGGGAUAGCCUUCAGAAAUGAAGAUUACUCCCCCAUACUCUCUUAGAAUCGCAUCAAUUGUAGCAUAAAGGCUACGGUAUAAGAGGAGUAUGCGUUCUAUUAGGUUGGUGGUGUGGUAAAGGCACACCAAGAGUACGAUAGAUAGGGGCCGGAGAGGGGGAUCCCCCACACUGGUAUUGAGACACGGACCAGACUCCUACGGGAGGCAGCAGUGAGGAAUAUUGGACAAUGGAGGCAAUUUUGAUCCAGCCAUGCCGCGUGUAGGAGGACUGCCCUAUGGGUUGUAAACUACUUUCGCACAGGAAG